RNAcentral lists this unclassified non-coding RNA (256 nucleotides) under Hevea brasiliensis (rubber tree). Lineage: Eukaryota; Viridiplantae; Streptophyta; Magnoliopsida; Malpighiales; Euphorbiaceae. The record is from RNAcentral.
AAGCAAUUAAGGUAAAUAAUUCAUUUCAAACUCUCCCAAUACAUUCCCAUUAUCCCACCUAAUGAGGAAGAGUAGGCCAUAAUCACUUUGCAAGAAAUACUUUAUUUUAAUUCACAAAACUUUCGAUCCCUAACCCUUCUUCACAUUACAUAUAGGGAAAGUAAACUGUUUCACCAAACUUAUUUCCUCCAUCUCCACAAAGAAAGCUCAUUUAAAUUUCCUCCUCCAUCUCCACACAAACACACACACACAAAAA